GGCUCUAUGGCUUAGUGGUAGAGUGCUUGCCUAGCAAGCAUGAAGCCCUGGGUUCAAUUCCUCAGUACCA
RNAcentral lists this transfer RNA (70 nucleotides) under Dipodomys ordii (Ord's kangaroo rat). It matches the Rfam family "tRNA". Rfam says of the family: Transfer RNA (tRNA) molecules are approximately 80 nucleotides in length. Their secondary structure includes four short double-helical elements and three loops (D, anti-codon, and T loops). The record is from Rfam by way of RNAcentral. Lineage: Eukaryota; Metazoa; Chordata; Mammalia; Rodentia; Heteromyidae.